Molecule: transfer RNA, 72 nt
Filed under: Monodelphis domestica (gray short-tailed opossum)
Lineage: Eukaryota; Metazoa; Chordata; Mammalia; Didelphimorphia; Didelphidae
Rfam family: tRNA
About the family: Transfer RNA (tRNA) molecules are approximately 80 nucleotides in length. Their secondary structure includes four short double-helical elements and three loops (D, anti-codon, and T loops).
Source: Rfam by way of RNAcentral
GCCUGCUAGCUCAGUUGGUAGAGCAGGAGAUUCUUAUUCUCAGGGUCAUGGGUUUAAGCCCCAUAUUGGGCA